RNAcentral lists this ribosomal RNA (468 nucleotides) under uncultured bacterium. RNAcentral describes it as "partial 16S ribosomal RNA". It matches the Rfam family "Bacterial small subunit ribosomal RNA", at positions 28 to 507 of the family's 1533-position model. The record is from RNAcentral.
GACGAACGCUGGCGGCGUGCUUAACACAUGCAAGUCGAACGGAAAGGCCCUGCUUUUGUGGGGUGCUCGAGUGGCGAACGGGUGAGUAACACGUGAGUAACCUGCCCUUGACUUUGGGAUAACUUCAGGAAACUGGGGCUAAUACCGGAUAGGAGCGCCUGCUGCAUGGUGGGGGUUGGAAAGUUUCGGCGGUUGGGGAUGGACUCGCGGCUUAUCAGCUUGUUGGUGGGGUAGUGGCUUACCAAGGCUUUGACGGGUAGCCGGCCUGAGAGGGUGACCGGCCACCUUGGGACUGAGAUACGGACCAGACUCCAACGGGAGGCAGCAGUGGGGAAUAUUGCACAAUGGGCGGAAGCGUGAUGCAGAAACGCCGCGUGCGGGAUGACGGCCUUCGGGUUGUAAACCGCUUUCGCCUGUGACGAAGCGUGAGUGACGGUAAUGGGUAAAGAAGCACCGGCUAACUACGUG